RNAcentral lists this ribosomal RNA (994 nucleotides) under uncultured Pelagibacterales bacterium. RNAcentral describes it as "bacterial SSU rRNA". It matches the Rfam family "Bacterial small subunit ribosomal RNA", at positions 8 to 1039 of the family's 1533-position model. The record is from RNAcentral. Lineage: Bacteria; Pseudomonadati; Pseudomonadota; Alphaproteobacteria; Candidatus Pelagibacterales.
AGAGUUUGAUCCUGGCUCAGAACGUACGCUGGCGGCACGCCUAACACAUGCAAGUCGAACGAAGUAGCAAUACUUAGUGGCGAACGGGUGAGUAUAAUGUGGGUAUCUGCCCUUUGGUCUGGAAUAACACGGGGAAACUUGUGCUAAUACUAGAUAAGCCUUUACAGGGAAAGCUUUAGCGCCAAUGGAUGAGCUCACACUUGAUUAACUAGUUGGUAGGGUAAUGGCCUACCAAGGUUGCGAUCAAUAGCUGAUCUGAGAGGAUGAUCAGCCACAUUGGGACUGAGACACGGCCCAGACUCCUACGGGAGGCAGCAGUGGGGAAUCUUGCACAAUGGGGGAAACCCUGAUGCAGCGAUGCCGCGUGAGUGAAGAAGGCCUUUGGGUUGUAAAGCUCUUUCGUCGGGGAAGAAAAUGACUGUACCCGAAUAAGAAGGUCCGGCUAACUUCGUGCCAGCAGCCGCGGUAAUACGAAGGGACCUAGCGUAGUUCGGAAUUACUGGGCUUAAAGAGCACGUAGGUGGUUAAAAAAGUUGGUGGUGAAAUCCCAAGGCUUAACCUUGGAACUGCCACCAAAACUUUUUAACUAGAGUGUGAUAGAGGUAAGCGGAAUUUCUAGUGUAGAGGUGAAAUUCGUAGAUAUUAGAAAGAACAUCAAUUGCGAACGCAGCUUUCUGGAUCAUUACUGACACUGAGGUGCGAAAGCAUGGGUAGCGAAGAGGAUUAGAUACCCUCGUAGUCCAUGCCGUAAACGAUGUGUGCUAGACGUUGGGAAAUUUAGUUCUCAGUGUCGCAGCAAAAGCGUUAAGCACACCGCCCUGGGGGAGUACGACCGCAAGGUUUAAAACUCAAUGAUUGACGGGACCCCGCCACCAGCAGUGGGAGCAAUGGUGGCUUUAGUUCGAGAUCGCGCAGAAUCCUCACCGACUUCUUGACAUGUUCGUUCGCGAACUUCUAGGAGAUUAAGUCUCGAUUCGGUCGACGAAUCUCAAGU